RNAcentral lists this ribosomal RNA (235 nucleotides) under uncultured Candidatus Saccharibacteria bacterium. Its description in RNAcentral is "partial 16S ribosomal RNA". It matches the Rfam family "Bacterial small subunit ribosomal RNA", at positions 584 to 818 of the family's 1533-position model. The record is from RNAcentral. Lineage: Bacteria; Candidatus Saccharimonadota.
AAAGUGAAUAGUGAAAUCUGGUGGCUCAACCAUUCAGGCUAUUAUUCAAACUCACACACUCGAGAACAGCAGAGGUAACUGGAAUUUCUGAAGUAGGGGUAAUAUCCGUAGAUAUCAGAAGGAACACCAAUGGCGUAGGCAGGUUACUGGGCUGUUUCUGACACUGAGGCACGAAAGCGUGGGAGCGAACCGGAUUAGAUACCCGGGUAGUCCACGCCGUAAACGAUGGAUACUA